UUUCCCGGUAAUGUUUCAUAUGCUCUUGAU
This 30-nucleotide non-coding RNA is filed under the name Mus musculus (house mouse). Lineage: Eukaryota; Metazoa; Chordata; Mammalia; Rodentia; Muridae. The record is from RNAcentral.